UGGGGAAUAUUGGACAAUGGGCGAAAGCCUGAUCCAGCAAUGCCGCGUGUGUGAAGAAGGCCUGCGGGUUGUAAAGCACUUUCAUCAGGGACGAAAAACCCGGGGCGAAUACCCCCGGGCCUUGACUUAACCUGAACAAGAAGCACCGGCUAACUCCGUGCCAGCAGCCGCGGUAAUACGGAGGGUGCGAGCGUUAAUCGGAAUUACUGGGCGUAAAGCGCACGUAGGAGGCGAGAUCAGUCAGAUGUGAAAUCCCCGGGCUCAACCUGGGAAUUGCAUUUGAUACUGUCUUGCUAGAGUCUGGCAGAGGUAAGCGGAAUUCCGGGUGUAGCGGUGGAAUGCGUAGAUAUCCGGAAGAACACCAGUGGCGAAGGCGGCUUACUGGGCCAAGACUGACUCUGAGGUGCGAAAGCGUGGGGAGCGAACAGGAUUAGAUACCCCCGUAGUCC
This 449-nucleotide ribosomal RNA is filed under the name uncultured prokaryote. RNAcentral's name for it is "bacterial SSU rRNA". It matches the Rfam family "Bacterial small subunit ribosomal RNA", at positions 355 to 796 of the family's 1533-position model. The record is from RNAcentral.